Molecule: ribosomal RNA, 1159 nt
Filed under: Candidatus Phytoplasma pini
Lineage: Bacteria; Bacillati; Mycoplasmatota; Mollicutes; Acholeplasmatales; Acholeplasmataceae
Description: bacterial SSU rRNA
Rfam family: Bacterial small subunit ribosomal RNA
Source: RNAcentral
UUUUAAAAGACCUUUUUCGAAAGGUAUGCUUAAAGAGGGGCUUGCGCCAUAUUAGUUAGUUGGUAGGGUAAAAGCCUACCAAGACGAUGAUAUGUAGCUGGACUGAGAGGUUGAACGGCCACAUUGGGACUGAGACACGGCCCAAACUCCCACGGGAGGCAGCAGUAGGGAAUUUUCGGCAAUGGAGGAAACUCUGACCGAGCAACGUCGCGUGAACGAUGAAGUAUUUCGGUAUGUAAAGUUCUUUUAUUGAAGAAGAAAAAAUAGUGGAAAAACUAUCUUGACGCUAUUCAAUGAAUAAGCCCUGGCUAAUUAUGUGCCAGCAGCCGCGGUAAUACAUAAAGGGCGAGCGUUAUCCGGAAUUAUUGGGCGUAAAGGGUGCGUAGGCGGUUUGUUAAGUCUUUAGUUUAAUCUCAGUGCUUAACGCUGUUCUGCUAGAGAAACUGACUUACUAGAGUGAGAUAGAGGCAAGUGGAAUUCCAUGUGUCAGCGGUAAAAUGCGUAAAUAUAUGGAGGAACACCAGAGGCGUAGGCGGCUUGCUGGGUCUUUACUGACGCUGAGGCACGAAAGCGUGGGGAGCAAACAGGAUUAGAUACCCUGGUAGUCCACGCCGUAAACGAUGAGUACUAAGUGUCGGGGAAACUCGGUACUGAAGUUAACACAUUAAGUACUCCGCCUGAGUAGUACGUACGCAAGUAUGAAACUUAAAGGAAUUGACGGGAUCCCGCACAAGCGGUGGAUCAUGUUGUUUAAUUCGAAGAUACACGAAAAACCUUACCAGGUCUUGACAUACUCUGCAAAGCUGUAGAAAUACAGUGGAGGUUAUCAGGGAUACAGGUGGUGCAUGGUUGUCGUCAGCUCGUGUCGUGAGAUGUUAGGUUAAGUCCUAGAACGAGCGCAACCCUUGUCGUUAGUUACCAGCACGUUAUGGUGGGCACUUUAACGAGACUGCCAAUGAAAUAUUGGAGGAAGGUGAGGAUUACGUCAAAUCAUCAUGCCCCUUAUGAUCUGGGCUACAAACGUGAUACAAUGGCUGUUACAAAGAGUAGCUGAAACGUGAGUUUUUGGCCAAUCUCAAAAAAACAGCCUCAGUUCGGAUUGAAGUCUGCAACUCGACUUCAUGAAGUUGGAAUCGCUAGUAAUCGCAAAUCAGCAUGU